UAUAGAUGGAUCCGCGCUGCAUUAGCUAGUUGGUAAGGUAACGGCUUACCAAGGCAACGAUGCAUAGCCGACCUGAGAGGGUGAUCGGCCACACUGGAACUGAGACACGGUCCAGACUCCUACGGGAGGCAGCAGUAGGGAAUCUUCCGCAAUGGGCGAAAGCCUGACGGAGCAACGCCGCGUGAGUGAUGAAGGUCUUCGGAUCGUAAAACUCUGUUAUUAGGGAAGAACAUAUGUGUAAGUAACUGUGCACAUCUUGACGGUACCUAAUCAGAAAGCCACGGCUAACUACGUGCCAGCAGCCGCGGUAAUACGUAGGUGGCAAGCGUUAUCCGGAAUUAUUGGGCGUAAAGCGCGCGUAGGCGGUUUUUUAAGUCUGAUGUGAAAGCCCACGGCUCAACCGUGGAGGGUCAUUGGAAACUGGAAAACUUGAGUGCAGAAGAGGAAAGUGGAAUUCCAUGUGUAGCGGUGAAAUGCGCAGAGAUAUGGAGGAACACCAGUGGCGAAGGCGACUUUCUGGUCUGUAACUGACGCUGAUGUGCGAAAGCGUGGGGAUCAAACAGGAUUAGAUACC
RNAcentral lists this ribosomal RNA (574 nucleotides) under Staphylococcus aureus. RNAcentral describes it as "bacterial SSU rRNA". It matches the Rfam family "Bacterial small subunit ribosomal RNA", at positions 220 to 786 of the family's 1533-position model. Lineage: Bacteria; Bacillati; Bacillota; Bacilli; Caryophanales; Staphylococcaceae. The record is from RNAcentral.